CAACUGUUUUAAGUGUGAACAUCAACACAUUCAUUUAUUAAGUUUUUUGAGUCCUUGGAGGCUAGCGACCAUCUUGGAUUUGCCUGCCAUAAGAGCAAUGUUAAUUUUUUCAUUUCAUCUCAAAAUAUUUUUUUAAUACCGUACUGUACCAAAGUGAGUGUAAUUUAAAUAUCUAGUGCACUGUGAUGAGGGUUUUCUCAAUCAUACUAAACUUUUACAACAAGCAAUUAAGUUUAACAACCGAUGUUUUUAGCCUUGGGUGACCAUAAAAAUAAACUUAUAUCCGUUUCGGGCUUAAGUCUCAUUGUGCCACCUACGUAAAGAGCGACUUCCUAAUCAGGAAAUUUGAUCAAAAGUACUCAGGUUAAUUUUAGAUUGCUGGAAUUGAUAAACUAAUAUAUACUUUUAAGUUGGCUUUUAAAUCUAUUUAAAUUAAUAAUGUUAACUUUUAAUUUUUUAUAAAUGCCUUUAGGUCAGUAACAUGCUAUCACAACUGAAGUAGCCUAAGCCUUAAAAAUUUAUUACUUUUUAGAAAUCUUGAAGAUGCCCAAGCGGAGAAAUUAUGAUGUGACAUUUUCAAAUUUAAGUUGGCAUGGUAAAAGAAAACGGUUGAAGCAGAUGGAAGAUAGCAGCUCUGAGAGUUUAAAUGAUCUAAGUGAAAAUAAUUCCCCAACCAAUUUUAUCACUCUACAUCAGUCAAAUUCAGACAACGAUUCCACUGACACUGUAGUUGAUAGCAGGGCCCCCUAUGAAGAUUGUUUACAUGAACCUUUAUCUGAUGAUAUUCAUUUUGAAAAUGAAAACUCCCAGGAUGAAAUGGAAAUUGUUGUCUCGGAUGCAACUAUACAGUCAAACAUUUCUAUCGAAAGUGACUAUCAAUGCAGUUCUGAAACAAGUCUGUCAGAUUUUGAAUCUGAUAAUGAAACGUUAACCUCUACUGGAACUGUAAAAAACUUCUUGCGUAACUGGGCAGCGGAUAAUAAUAUCACUCUAUCAGCUGUCUCAAGUUUAUGUUCGGGAUUAAGAGAAGUUCAUCCAUCUUGUUUUAGAACUCUCCCUAAAGAUGGUAGAACAAUUAUGAACACACCAAAAGAUGUUAAGAGUGUGCAAGUACCUCCUGGGAAUUAUAUUCAUAUAGGAUUUAAAAAACAAUUGGAUUUUAUAAUUGGAGAACUAUUUAAUUUAGCUAUUGACAUUAAAGUAUUACAUAUCUUGGUUAACAUCGAUGGUCUGAGUCUGUAUCGAAGUUCUCCAAGUGAAAUGAUUCCGAUCUUAUUUUCAUUGCCAACAAUCAAGCAGUUGGAGAAUCUUGUAUUCCCAGUUGGUAUUUACUAUGGUAUAAAGAAACCAUAUGACCUUUCAUCUUUCUUGUGUUUGUUUAUUGAAGAGAUGAAUGACAUAUUAACUAAUGGGAUGUCAAUGAAUGAUAGACAUAUACAAGUUAACUUUCUUGGGUUUUGCUGUGAUGCACCUGCAAAGAGUUAUUUAAUGGGUGUAGUGGGUCACAAUGGGUUCAAUAGUUGCACAAGAUGCAAGGUAAAAGGAGUGUCAGUUGGUCCAAAGAGAAGAAAGAGAAGAAUCUUCUUACAAAUAAAUAGUCAGCCGAGGACCAAUGAAGAAUUCUUAGAAAACAGUGAUCCAACCUAUACAAGACGUACAACACCCUUAACACAAAUUCAAAAUCUCAACUUUGUCAAUGAUUUUAUUCUUGACUAUAUGCAUUUGAUCUGUCUUGGAGUAAUGCGUAAAAUGCUAUUCACUUGGUGUUCAGGGCAGCCUAUUACAGCAAGAAUUUCAGUCAGCCAACAAACAAUUUUGUCCGAAAAUCUUCUCUCUUUAAGGAAUGCAGUACCUGAAGAAUUUGCACGACGACCUCGUGAACUAUCAAAUCUGAAAUAUUGGAAGGCAACUGAAUUCAGAACAUUUUUACUUUAUUUAGGACCUGUUGUUUUAAAGGAUAUUUUAAAUCCAGACAAGUACAGACACUUUUUGACACUUCAUAUUGCUGUUACAAUAUUACUUAAUAGCAAUACAUGUAAACAUAAUGAUAUGCUCCGUUAUGCUCAAGAUUUGUUAAAACACUUUGUAACAAAUACAGUUAACUUGUAUGAUCAAAACUUGAUAACACAUAAUUUUCAUGGGCUAAUACAUGUAGUUGAUGAUGUCAUCCACUUCUCUCAAAAAAUCCCUAAUGUCACUUUGCACACCAUUUCAGCUUUUCCAUUUGAAAAUCAUAUGCAGAAAAUAAAGCGAAUGGUUAGAUCCAAAUCUAAACCCUUAGAACAAGUGGGUAGAAGAGUUGGUGAGCUUUUUUCAAAACAAGUUUCAAUAACACAUAUUUUAGAAGAACCUCAGUUCAAAAUCCACCACAGUGAAGGUCCAUUAUUAGCACUCUGCAAAGGUCCCCAGUUUAAAAAGAUAAAAUUUAAUGACUUCACUUUGAGUAUAAGUCCACCAAAUAACUGCUGUGGCUUGAAGAAUGGCAGUGUGGUAGUCAUAGAGAACAUUGCCUAUUCUACUGAACUAGAUGCCAAAGUCGUCAUAGGGCGCAAGUAUCUACAAAGGAACAAUUUUUUUGAUGAGCCACUGCUUAAUAGUAAAAGCUUGGGAAUUUUUAAAGUUGAGAGGUUGUCAUCAAGAUCUUUUUGGCCAUGUAGUGAAAUAGCAACAAAAUAUAUCUCCAUACCGAGAAAAAACUACCAUGUAGUAUUCCCUCUUCUGCAUGUUUAACGUAAACUGUCAGCAAGAUAUAGCCCUAGCCAAAACUCCUUCCAACAACCAUUCCUACUCCAACAACCAUUCCUACAGGUAAAAUAUAUUACUUUUCCUACUAUUCCUACUAUUCCUUACUAAUGCCACUCAUUCUUGAUUAAUGUUUCCCAUACAUUGCUUUUAUAACCUUGCACAUGUGGUAGUUAAAUGCUAUUAAGCUCUUUUAUUCUUUGGUGUUGGCGAUAAUAUAGUAAUAUAUAGAUAAUAUAGUAAUUUGUAUGAUGGGUAUUUCUAAUUUAUAAAGGCAACAGCUAAUUUUCUAUUAUUUACUCUUUUCAGCAUACUUACCAAGAAUGUGGACAAUCGUCAAAGUCAAGUCUACAGAUCAAUAUGACGUAAUCCCAAACGAGUGGAUUGUCUCUUCCACCCUGUGCUUUUAUCCAGACAAAGGUAAAAGUACAGCCACUAGAUUGGCCAAGGAUAGAAUCAUGCCUGAAAGCGAUUGGGAUGACUUGGAAAUCGCUAUCGUGAGACGUGAUCUAGAAGACUUUGAAAGGGCUCUAGAAAAUGUAGUCCGGUUGGAAAAAAAUCGGAAGACUGUAACGAGCAGUGAAAAUGAAAGGAGAGGAAGAGGAAUGAGAAAAAAAAACUUAAAAAAUUUGAUUACCUGGCUAGGUCAAGCAGUGAUGAUAGUGAUAUUGAAAGUGAUCAUGGUAAAGAGCAAGAACAGAUCCCCAUGGCCGUUUUACCCCUUCCACCACCAUCAUUCAGCACAAGAGUUGAAACUUCACCUCAUAUUGAAUGCCAACAAAAUUUAAAAAAAACUGUUGAGAAUCAACCAAAAAAGAACCAAAAUAGGCCACCAAACAGACUUACUGACGACUCGCCAACACCAUGCACAAUUUCUAAAAAACAUACCUGUAUCAGGACGAAAGGUCCGAAAAAUGAUUUUAACACAUUGGCCGCAAUGAUGUGUUCACUCUCUAGUGAAUUAACAUCAAUCAAAUGUAAAAUAAUGGAACUGAAAGAAAUUAUUAAAGAAGAGAAAAGCAGCCAGGAAUCUAAAGGAAGCCAGCAGGGCACAUAUGAAGAUUCUGACUUUGAUGACGACGAAGUAAAAGAAAUAUUAAAGCCAUUUCCCCUUACGUCGAUUGAAAGUUACAACGAAUAUGAAAAGAUGCUAGAUUCUCAGCCUCAACUCAGAAAACAGUUAGUGACAGCUUUUGUAUCAGUAGCCCGAAAAACAAGCUACUCUAGGACCACCACCAGCCUACUGAAGACGGUACUGCAUGAAAAUGUAAUUUCUCAUUUCACAUGGAGAGGAAUGAACAGGGCGUCACAUGACGUCAGUAGAAAAUCGUUUUCGAGCAGCACUCUAUGCCAAUUAAUACAACGUGCUGUCAAGAAGAUAUGGAGGAGUACGAUGUCAGACCUCUCAAAAAAAGUAGAUAACUGCAUGAACGCGUGGUUUAUUCAGAAUCAGCACCGGUUGAAAAAGGCUCAACUAAAUGGACAAUAAGAAGAAGCUGUGUGUCGUCACGAGUAAAACGGAGCAAGUUAAACUUGAUUCUAUAGACUGGAAUAAAACAAUUUUAUUAGUUAUUAUGAUAAUUUUAAGUCUUGUCUUUCUAAUAUGCCAGGGAUGUUGGUUAUGAGUUAUCUUUUUGUUUAAAUUUGUUCCUUGUAAUUUUUUAUUAGAGCCGCUGAUGGUAUUGUUAUAAGUACAAGGGUCAUCCACGAAAUAACCACCGUCUAUGCUAGAGAGAGCAAAGUACGAUCGCAUGUUCUGGUUUCAUAACCUAAAAACACAAAUUCUGCCAAGUGUCAAUUGUGUGGUGUAAUCAUAUUUCUGUAUUUGAAGAAUCACUGUGCAGCUAAAAUUCGUUGUGAAUUGUGUGUGGUGUAUGGCCCAAACAUUAUGAGUAAAAAUGUAGUUCGUCAAUGGGUUGGUUUAAAAAAUGGGAACAUCUCUCCCCUCCGGUAAUAAUCAAGUCUAAGAAAGGUUCUCCAUGUGAAAUGAUUCCGAUCCUAUUUUCGUUGUCAACAUUCAAGCAGUUGGAGAAUCUUGUAUUCCCAGUUGGUAUUUACAAUUGUACAAAGAAGCCAUAUGACUUUUCAUCUUUCUUAUGUUUUUUUAUUGAAGAGAUUAAUGACAUUUUAACAAAUGGGGAUUCAAUGAAUGAUAGACAUAUACAAGUUAGUCCAAUGUUAAAAUACCAAAUAAACAUAGCGUUUCACAAGGUCCAAAUUUCACAAGGUCCAACGGUACAGUCUCGGCGAGAAGUCGCUGCAGAGGUUGCCAUGGUUCGGUAUGUAGGCACUACACUACCUAGUGUUGUUGCCACACGUCACAAAACAAUUGUGAGUCCGUAGAUACGUUGUAAAGAGUGUAAAGUAGUGGUGUUUACCCCCUCCGCAGCAAACCUGCAGACUAAUCGAUUUUCCAUUUCCCUUAUUUGAUUUACACUAGAAUAUCUCCUUAAAAUGAUCACAUUUAUUCCCUAUUUAAAUAGCAUUAGUUUAACAAGUACCGUACUUAGGUUUGCUACAACAGGGAGUAAUCAGUAAUCAGUAGUUGAGCGCCGGCGGACGGUGCCUGCUAUCUGACCGUGGCAACCACUGUAGAGACUUCUGGCCCAGACUGUACCGUUGGACCUUGUGAAACGCUCUGUUUAUUUUAUAUUUUAACGUUAGACUUGUGAAAUUUGGACAUUGUGAAACUGUGAUUAUUUGAAUGUUAUAGUUUUUGACUUAAUGAAAUUUGGACCUUGUGAAACGCUCUGUUUAUUUGAUUUUUUAACAUUGGACUUUGUGAAAUUUGGACAUUGUGAAACGGUGAUUAUUUGAAUGUUAUAGUUUUGGACUUUGUGAAAAUUGGACUUUAUGAAACGCUCCCGGUUUGAAAACCAACCUAUGCAAAACACAACACCCUUUAACACAAAUUCAAAAUCUCAAUUUUGUCAAUGAUUUGUUUCGUGACUAUAUGCAUUUGAUCUGUCUAGGAGUAAUGCCACAGCCACCUCUAAUACAAGGCCGCGGCGAGUGAAAGCGGCAACGUCGCAUCAGUGUCUUGGUGCGCGGUCGUCUUACCAUUACAGUGAAUGGAGGAGUCGCGUACCGACGUACAUAAUCGCAUUUCUACUACCUUUAAUCAUUAUUAAUGACAUUAAACUUCUUACUACAGCAUGCCAGAUAGAUGUGAUGUGCCUGGAUGCAAGAAUAAUUACGAUAGGUCAAUUAAAAAUGAAUAAUACAUACAGUGUUCUAAGAUUCUACGUGAACCGCCGCGUUAGUAACAAAAUUGCUUCCUGCUAUGCUUCGAUCAAAUUAGACAUCUUAAAAUAAUUCUCGUUAUUGUGUGAAACAUUUUCACGAAUAUGAACUUAAAUUUGUAAAAAAAAUUAAGAAUAAGACUUUGGUUCGUGUAAAUAUACACGUGAGAAGCGAGUUUUAGGUAUGAGAAAGCCGUACUAUUUCCUUGUUUAUUUGUCUAUCUAUUGAUAAAAGCUGUUGUUAAGUGAUUAAAUAACUUAAAUAACUAGCACUUCGAAGAAAUAAACCGGUGUUUCUAUUUAGUAGGCCUACUAGUAAAAAAUAUGUACUACUUUAUCUAACAAUUAAAGCAUUGUAUUCUCCGACUCCAGUCUGAAUGUUGAUGUUAUGAAACAAUUCUAUUAAUAUUGUGGAAAGCCAUAUGGAGGCCUAGCUUCUGAAAUCGUUUACAAAAUGAAAAACGUUUUGCUUAGUAAUUAUUCAAAGAAAAUAAAUUAUUUAUAGUAUUAAUUAUUUAUUUAUUAUUUAUAGUAACUGUGUGCCUUCAAAAUGAAAACUUAAAAUUUUGUUUUCGCUAACUAAUGUUUUUCUCAGGUAGACUAAAACGUAAUAUUCCUAUUGAAAAUUGAAAAUUAAUUUGUUUCAAACAGAUUGUUAUAUGUUAGUCUCUACAAAUCCCAAAGUCUCUACAAAUAUUGAAGUGGCAAUAAGUUAGUCAGUCCUACUGUAUUACCAUUACCAUUCUUGUUAUAGUAGCUUUAUUUUGUAAAAUUUAAGCACAGUCUGUCUAGUAGUUUUUACUAUGUUGAAUAACACACAUAUAUACAGACACCAUGAGAUUUUUAUAUAAUAGUGUAGAUUAUCAAAUUAACAAAGGAAAUAUGUAAAGUCCAUCUAUUUCCACAUUCAUCGUACUUACAAUACGAUAAAUGCAACCAAAAACAUUAUGUUUGUAUAUUUUUAGUUUUAGACAUAUUGGGGUAUGUUGCAAUUUUUCACUAAAUAAACAACCUAGAUUCCAAUUUUGUCUAUUUUACCAUACCUUAAAAUCUACUAAAAUAUGUUAUUACGAAUUUAAAUACUUUCAUUCAUUGAUACAGAGCAGCAAUACUCUCAUUGAUGUUCAUAGCCUAGCGCGUGUGAAGACGGACGCAGAGGGGGGGUGAUUGCGGCGUUGCCAGUUCGAACGUCGCGGCCUUGUAUUAGAGGUGGCUGUGGUAAUGCCUAAAAUACUACUCACUUGGUGAUUUGGGCAGCCUAUUACAGCAAGAAUUUCAAUCAGCCAACAAACAAUUUUAGUUGUUUAGUUUUGGGUAGAAGAGUUGGUUGUUUUUUCUUUUUUCAAAACAAGUUCCAAUAUGAAAUAUUUUAGAUGAACCUCAGUUCAAAAUGGUAGAAUUUUUUAUGGCGGCACUUGUGUUUUUAGGUUAUAACAGAAAGCACAAUUACUAUGCUCUCUCUAGCACAGCAAGAAGCGCGCACGUUGAUGUGAGAAUGGCAGCGCUACCCCCACUACUUAUACUUGUCACGCCACCCCCUUACGGCAGUUACAUUGUGGAUGACCCUAGUAUUUACAGAAAGUUGGAUUUUUAAUCUGUUUUAUGGGUUUGUUCUGAUAUAAAUGUCAUUUCACUUUAGCUAAAACAUAGUUUAUUUGCAAUAUGGGGUUUGUCUUAUUGAUUAUAACUCCUGAAUAUUUUAUUGAAUACAUAAAUUUGAAUCCAAUAAAAUAAACAAAUAAAAAAUGUAUUUAAUUUUUUAUUAAAUUUUAAGCUAAAUUAUUAGUCUUGCUAUUCAAAAGUUUGUAACUGGUGGGACAACCCUCAAGGGUGAGACACGACACAGUAUGUACAACUAUGACAUUUUCACUCAUUUUAAUGUGUUAAUUAAGACUAAAAAAAUUAUAGAGCUAAUAGGAGAGUUCAGCAGGUUAAACAGGGGAGUGUAUUUUAUUCAUCUAUGUUAAUUUUAUUAAUUGUGUUUUAAAGUAAAUGUUUAUUGUUUUUUUUAAUGUAACUUUGUGUAUUGUGUUAGUAAAAUUUGGCUGAAUUUAAAUUGGAAGUUGCUAUUGUUUUAUGAAUUUACCCAGUAAAUUCUGAUUGGUUAAGUUUUUAAAUUGAAAAAUAUCAAGAAAUGGCUGAUAUAAAAUUGAAUUUUCUUUGUCAAAGAAUAUUUGGAUGGUUAGCUAAUUAGUUGAACUUGAUUUUGGAACUCAUUUAGUACCUUUUCUACUGGUUGUAGUUGUUAAGUUUUAAUUUGUGUUUGUGUAAAUUGAUGAAAUGUUCCUACUGUAAUUUGUUAGUGUAACUUGGCUAAAUCAUUGGAGGAUACACAUUGUUUAGUUAAUUUAGCUAGAAUUUCCAAUUCCUUAAGUUUUUAAAUUGAAAAAUAUUAAGAAAAGGCUCAUAGGAAAGUAAGUUUUCUCUGUAAAAGAAUAUUUUUGAUGGUUAGCAAAUUAUUUUAACUUGUUUUUGAUAUAGAGGAACUAAUCUUUUAUUUCAACUAUGAAUUCAUUUUAUUCAUGUACCGGUAUGUUGUUUAAAAUUUUAGAGCCCAGCUAUUAGAGUUGCACAUGUUCAAUUAGUUUAGUUGUAGUUAUAAUUUGUUAAUACUCAGUUUAAAUUAUCACAUUGGCUAAAAUUUAUUGCCGUUAAAUUUCAAUUUGUGGAUAACAACACAAGUUUUAUUUUUAACUUUGUCAACUUUUCAACUGGAGUGUUGGUUAGUAAUGCACUGUUACUGCAAUUGCUUUACAAAAAUUUAAAUCUUUAACCAAUCAUGUUAAUAGUUUAGUUUUUUAUGAACCUAUAUUCAGUGUUUUUCUGCAGUGAAAAGUUGUUGCUUUGAAAGAGUGUUUACCUUAAUGUAAAAAAAAAAUGUUUUUGAAAAGGUGGCUUGUGUGUACACUAUCUUACAAUCAUAACAAUAUUCAAAGUGACAAAUGAGAAACGUUAUAGUAAACAUAUAGCUUGGAUAUAGUUUUCCUUGUUUAGUUGUUGAAUGUAGACUUAGACUUUUAUUUAUUAAAUUUAAAAAAGUGAUUUCUUUAUUAACAGUGCAUUGCUAUUUAUUUAACACUCCAGAUGACAAGUUGACAAAGCUAAAAUCAAAACUGAAGUGUAUCCAGAAAUUUAAAUUAAAUGGGAAUUAAAUUAUAAGUUAAUGUUUUGAUUAGGCCUAUAUUAAUUGUUAUUAGCUAUGUGAAACAUUUUAUUUGUUCAUGAAUGACACUGUUCAAUGUACAAUAACUGACUUUUAAGUGAAUAAAGAAUGAUUGUCUCUUGA
This is an RNA transcript of Macrosteles quadrilineatus (aster leafhopper), 9270 nucleotides long. RefSeq lists it as uncharacterized. The record is from RefSeq and is a predicted model, not a curated record. The transcript is spliced from 6 exons. NCBI's taxonomy places the organism in Eukaryota, Metazoa, Arthropoda, Insecta, Hemiptera, Cicadellidae.